Molecule: ribosomal RNA, 330 nt
Filed under: uncultured bacterium
Lineage: Bacteria
Description: bacterial SSU rRNA
Rfam family: Bacterial small subunit ribosomal RNA
Source: RNAcentral
CCAGUGACAGGUGCGUGCAUGGCGUGUCCUCAGCUCGUGUCGUGAGAUGUUGGGUUAAGUCCCGCAACGAGCGCAACCCUUGCCUUUAUUUGCCAACAUUAAGUUGGGCACUCUAGAGAGACUGCCAGGGAUAACCUGGAGGAAGGUGGGGAUGACGUCAAAUCAUCAUGCCCCUUAUGCUUAGGGCUACACACGUGCUACAAUGGAUGGUACAAAGGGUCGCCAUCCCGUGAGGGGGAGCUAAUCCCUUAAACCCUUUUUCAUUUCGAAUUGUAUGCUCAACCCGCCUUACUUAAAUUUGAAUUUCCAAUUAACGCCAAAUAAAAAGGC